CCCCAGAGGCAGGAUGGGCACCCAGGGCAGCCCGGUGAAGAGCUACGAUUACCUGCUCAAGUUCCUGCUGGUGGGCGACAGCGACGUGGGGAAGGGGGAGAUCCUGGAGAGCCUGCAGGACGGCGCCUCCGAGUCCCCGUACGCCUACAGCAACGGAAUUGACUACAAGACCACUACUAUCCUGUUGGAUGGCAGAAGGGUCAAGCUGGAACUCUGGGACACCUCAGGGCAAGGAAGAUUUUGUACCAUUUUCAGAUCCUACUCCAGGGGAGCCCAGGGAAUUCUCUUGGUGUAUGACAUCACUAAUCGCUGGUCCUUUGAUGGGAUAGACCGAUGGAUAAAGGAAAUAGAUGAGCACGCCCCAGGUGUCCCUCGGAUCCUGGUGGGGAACAGGCUGCACCUGGCCUUCAAGCGGCAGGUGCCGACGGAGCAGGCGCGCGCCUACGCCGAGAAGAACUGCAUGACCUUCUUCGAGGUGAGCCCCCUGUGCAACUUCAACGUCAUCGAGUCCUUCACCGAGCUGUCCCGCAUCGUGCUCAUGCGCCACGGCAUGGAGAAGAUCUGGAGGCCCAACCGAGUGUUCAGCUUACAGGACCUGUGCUGCCGAGCCAUCGUGUCCUGCACCCCGGUGCACCUCAUCGACAAGCUGCCCUUGCCCGUCACCAUCAAGAGCCACCUGAAGUCCUUCUCCAUGGCCAACGGGAUGAACGCGGUGAUGAUGCACGGCCGCUCCUAUUCCCUGGCCAGCAGCGGGGGCGGCAGCAGCAGCAAAGGCAACAGCUUGAAGAGAUCCAAAUCCAUCCGGCCGCCCCAGAGCCCCCCACAGAACUGCUCACGCAACAACUGCAAGAUCUCUUAGCAGGACGGGCGCCCUGAGCUUGUGUCGGAUCCACGCCCAGCCACCCAUGUACAGCUGUUUGCGCACCGAACCCUUCCCCGCUGGAUCCUUCCGGAUGGGCCGCGGCUGCUUUCCCGACGGCACGCAGGAGCCGUAGGAAUGCGCUCGCCUUUUGCCUUGGCAUAGGAAGAAGCAUGGUGCCGGCUGGAUCCCGCAGCGCUGGCGGGGAGAGGAUCUGCCAAGUGACCCUCCAAGAAUGCUUUGGGCUUUGCCUCUUGGCCUGGGGUGGAAAAUUCAGCAGCUGCCGGGUUGGGGAGGGGGGAAGGGGAAAAAAAGCUCAUCCAGUCUCAAUGGAGCAAUGGAUUUAAUGGAAGAUUGAGAGGCUUAAGGGAGUAGGCAAGGAGAGUCUGUGCUGCAACUUUAACUCUUGGCCUCCUGAACAGAUUGCUGGUGCAAUAGUGAUCGUUGGAUGUAGACAAAAGAAAGAAACAGGGACUAAUGACAGUUUUCACCAGGAUGUUAACCUGCUGUUGCCAAAAAAAUCCAGAAAACAAGGCAAGAGUUGGCCAAUUGGAAAGGGGAAGGCUGCGCUCCGCUCGCCGCCUUCGCUUUAUUUAUGUAAAUAUUAUACAUAUAUAUAAAUAUCACUUGUUUUUUAAGGGUUUUUUUAAGAAGCAGUCAGGGAAAAUUUUAUGCAGCCAUGUAAAUACAAGCACUGGAUUGACUUUCCCAGUGUCAGCAAAGGGGACAAGUGGAGGAUUUUCCAAUGAAAACACAUAAAUGCUUUAAGAGACUUUCCUUCACCUCUGGGCUCGUGCUGGUGUUUUUAAAUACUACAUGUGCAGAAGGAAAGGACAAUUGGUAUGGAACGUGCCCCAAGCUGCUCUAUUCCUAUGAUUCCCUAGAAGUUGUGAGUGCUGAAGGCAGGUGGGAUGGCAGUGCACGGAGAAGCAGAGUGGUGAGGCCAGGGUCCUGGGGGAUUGGAGUGUUUUGGCAGGCAGUAGGAAGAGGCAGCUCUGGGGUUAGACUGAUGCCUUGCUCACUUUGUGCUUUCUCAUUGGGGAUUUGGGAGCAGGGGGUGGAAGCAUUGUGCCUAAAGCAGAGGAAAAAUGCUGAAUUUUGUCCCUUAUUGCUGCAAAGCCUCAGCCAUCGCUUCUAGUGCCCUCCAUCCAUGACAUCACCCCACGUGACAGCCCUUGGAUCGUGGCUGCUUCCAGCUUUGCUUUCCCAAAGAUGCUGCCUGAGCUCAUGCUGCUGUGGCUCCUCCUGGAUGAAGGUGGGAAGGGGCAAAAGUGGCUUUCCCCACUGGAGCAUGAAGGAGCAGGGACUGGAAAGGUGGAAGGUUGGGGUGGGGAAACAGCAAUCUCCAGGUCCCUCAGUGGCAAAAUCACUUGGCUCUUGGGGCACUCCCAGGAGAUCAGGAGAGCCAACUGCUUUGCUCCGUGGGAUGGCUCCUGGAUCUUGGAGGGGCGAGAGCUUGGGAUGGAUCUUCUGUCAAGCAAGUGCACCUGCUUCCCUGGCUUUGUUCCACAGCUGACCUGUGCUGGAAAUUUACCUGGGAACUGAGAAAUAGCACCCAGCCCUUAUCCCAGGCAGCCUGGCAGUAGGGCUGGGCUAUGGUGGCAGCUUCUCAUAGGUGGCCAGAGCGUGUAGAUUGUGAGUAGUGUGGUAACAAGUGAGGUGUACAGUGCUGCCAUCUCCUCCUGGGAUCAGCUUGCUCUGCUCCCCCUUCCCAGGCAGCCUGGGGCACUGCGCGGGCAGAAUGAAGCCGCCGCAGCUCCCGUGCGGCCGACAGACCCGCUGUGUCCAGGCACAGGGACAGGAGGGACCUGUCCCCCUGUGGGGACAUCGCUUCCCUUGCUCCAGAGCCGCCCUGGGAGGUGCCAGAGGCUUCCCCCUCCCCUCUCUGCAGAGCACAGCACGGGCAGGUCGCUUGGCUCGCUUCUCUCGUGCUUUAUCACCCAGCUCAAGUGAGCGAGGACAGAAUUAAACCCCAGGCAGGUGGAGGGGGAGAGGAAUCCUUUGAAGGGGUGCUUUGGCUCAAGAGCAAAGCUGCAGCCGGGCCGUGCCGGUGGCACGAAGGCCGGGGGAUUUGGAGAACCUGUCUGGGAUGGCUGGCACCUGUUCCCCGUCGCUUAACGCGCAGCCGAAGACAAUCGCUGGCUCAGCAGCGCAGGGAUAUACGGCCAACAGGUGACCGGCCCCGCCAGCACCGGCUCCGCGGAACCGCCCCCGGCCGUGGGGCAAGAGGGACAAAGGGAUCCUUCCCGAAACCACCGACUGCUGCGUGUCUCACAGCUCACCGUGUGCCACCUCCCCACGCUGCUUCCCUGUGGUUGGUUUAGGUUUUGUCACCCUGUAAAGUCUCACCGAUCCUGUCUGGAGUGGGGAUGGAAGAUUUCCCUGGAGUGAUUGCCCAGCAACGAACUUUUUUUAUUUUUUAAUUUAAAAGGAAAAAGAUUCUUGCAUCUGAUGUCAACACUAGUCUGUAGCUGCUCUCCAACACUUGUACCAUUCCUGAGUUGGGUUUUUUUGGACUAUCCUUUUAUUUUUUUAUUCCUUUGUACAGUCAGUGUUGUUUAACUGAUUCUACAUGGUUUUGUUUUGUAUAAAUUAAAGUCUUUUUGUUUGUUUUGAACUACCAAUUGAAAAGAGGAGAAGUUGCAUCCUUUUUUGUGUGGGCUGGGAA
RNA transcript from Ficedula albicollis (Collared flycatcher), 3527 nucleotides. It is a transcript of the gene named RAB40C, member RAS oncogene family, with no coding region annotated. Lineage: Eukaryota; Metazoa; Chordata; Aves; Passeriformes; Muscicapidae. The transcript has 7 exons. The record is from RefSeq and is a predicted model, not a curated record.